RNAcentral lists this unclassified non-coding RNA (334 nucleotides) under soil metagenome. Its description in RNAcentral is "partial contains 5.8S ribosomal RNA, internal transcribed spacer 2, and large subunit ribosomal RNA". The stretch from base 1 to 120 matches the Rfam family "5.8S ribosomal RNA", at positions 35 to 154 of the family's 154-position model. The record is from RNAcentral.
GAUGAAGAACGUAGCGAAAUGCGAUAAGUAAUGUGAAUUGCAGAAUUCAGUGAAUCAUCGAAUCUUUGAACGCACAUUGCGCACGCCAGUAUUCUGGCGGGCAUGCCUGUUCGAGCGUCAUUUCAACCAUCAAGCCCCAGGCUUGUGUUGGAGCCCUGCGGCUGCCGCAGCCUCCCAAAACCAGUGGCGGGCUCGCUAUCACACCGAGUGCAGUAGUUUACUCUUCGCUCAGGGCGUGUGGCGGGUGCUAGCCGUAAAACCCCCAACUUCUCAAGGUUGACCUCGGAUCAGGUAGGAAUACCCGCUGAACUUAAGCAUAUCAAUAAGCGGAGGA